CCUACGGGUGGCAGCAGUGAGGAAUAUUGGUCAAUGGGCGCGAGCCUGAACCAGCCAAGUCGCGUGAAGGAUGACUGCCCUACGGGUUGUAAACUUCUUUUAUAAGGGAAUAAAGUGAGCCACGUGUGCCUUUUUGCAUGUACCUUAUGAAUAAGGAUCGGCUAACUCCGUGCCAGCAGCCGCGGUAAUACGGAGGAUGCGAGCGUUAUCCGGAUUUAUUGGGUUUAAAGGGUGCGUAGAUGGGUUGUUAAGUCAGCUGUGAAAGUUUGCGGCUCAACCGUAAAAUUGCAGUUGAAACUGGCAGCCUUGAGUGCGGUUGAGGUAGGCGGAAUGCGUGGUGUAGCGGUGAAAUGCUUAGAUAUCACGAAGAACUCCGAUUGCGAAGGCAGCUUACUAAGCUGCCACUGACAUUGAUGCACGAAAGUGUGGGUAUCAAACAGGAUUAGAUACCCCAGUAGUC
RNAcentral lists this ribosomal RNA (460 nucleotides) under uncultured bacterium. Its description in RNAcentral is "partial 16S ribosomal RNA". It matches the Rfam family "Bacterial small subunit ribosomal RNA", at positions 338 to 795 of the family's 1533-position model. The record is from RNAcentral.